AGAGUUUGAUCCUGGCUCAGGACGAACGCUGGCGGCGUGCUUAACACAUGCAAGUCGAACGGAAAGGCCCUUCGGGGUACUCGAGUGGCGAACGGGUGAGUAACACGUGGGUGAUCUGCCCUGCACUCUGGGAUAAGCCUGGGAAACUGGGUCUAAUACCGGAUAGGACCACACACUUCAUGGUGAGUGGUGCAAAGCUUUUGCGGUGUGGGAUGAGCCCGCGGCCUAUCAGCUUGUUGGUGGGGUAAUGGCCCACCAAGGCGACGACGGGUAGCCGGCCUGAGAGGGUGACCGGCCACACUGGGACUGAGAUACGGCCCAGACUCCUACGGGAGGCAGCAGUGGGGAAUAUUGCACAAUGGGCGCAAGCCUGAUGCAGCGACGCCGCGUGAGGGAUGACGGCCUUCGGGUUGUAAACCUCUUUCAGUAGGGACGAAGCGAAAGUGACGGUACCUACAGAAGAAGGACCGGCCAACUACGUGCCAGCAGCCGCGGUAAUACGUAGGGUCCGAGCGUUGUCCGGAAUUACUGGGCGUAAAGAGCUCGUAGGUGGUUUGUCGCGUUGUUCGUGAAAACUCACAGCUUAACUGUGGGCGUGCGGGCGAUACGGGCAGACUAGAGUACUGCAGGGGAGACUGGAAUUCCUGGUGUAGCGGUGGAAUGCGCAGAUAUCAGGAGGAACACCGGUGGCGAAGGCGGGUCUCUGGGCAGUAACUGACGCUGAGGAGCGAAAGCGUGGGUAGCGAACAGGAUUAGAUACCCUGGUAGUCCACGCCGUAAACGGUGGGUACUAGGUGUGGGUUUCCUUCCUUGGGAUCCGUGCCGUAGCUAACGCAUUAAGUACCCCGCCUGGGGAGUACGGUCGCAAGACUAAAACUCAAAGGAAUUGACGGGGGCCCGCACAAGCGGCGGAGCAUGUGGAUUAAUUCGAUGCAACGCGAAGAACCUUACCUGGGUUUGACAUGCACAGGACGUACCUAGAGAUAGGUAUUCCCUUGUGGCCUGUGUGCAGGUGGUGCAUGGCUGUCGUCAGCUCGUGUCGUGAGAUGUUGGGUUAAGUCCCGCAACGAGCGCAACCCUUGUCCUAUGUUGCCAGCGGGUAAUGCCGGGGACUCGUAGGAGACUGCCGGGGUCAACUCGGAGGAAGGUGGGGAUGACGUCAAGUCAUCAUGCCCCUUAUGUCCAGGGCUUCACACAUGCUACAAUGGCCAGUACAGAGGGCUGCGAAGCCGUAAGGUGGAGCGAAUCCCUUAAAGCUGGUCUCAGUUCGGAUUGGGGUCUGCAACUCGACCCCAUGAAGUCGGAGUCGCUAGUAAUCGCAGAUCAGCAACGCUGCGGUGAAUACGUUCCCGGGCCUUGUACACACCGCCCGUCACGUCAUGAAAGUCGGUAACACCCGAAGCCAGUGGCCUAACCUUUUGGAGGGAGCUGUCGAAGGUGGGAUCGGCGAUUGGGACGAAGUCGUAACAAGGUAGCCGUA
Molecule: ribosomal RNA, 1480 nt
Filed under: Mycobacteroides abscessus
Lineage: Bacteria; Bacillati; Actinomycetota; Actinomycetes; Mycobacteriales; Mycobacteriaceae
Also listed under: 1 other name
Description: Mycobacterium abscessus 16S ribosomal RNA
Rfam family: Bacterial small subunit ribosomal RNA
Source: RNAcentral